GACGAACGCUGGCGGCGUGCCUAAUACAUGCAAGUCGAACGCAGUGGGGACGGGUGAGUAACACGUGGGUAACCUCCCAUCAGAGGGGAUAACACUUGGAAACAGGUGCUAAACCGAUACUGAUGGAUGAACCCGCGGUGCAUUAGCUAGUUGGUGAGGUAACGGCUCACCAAGGCCACGAUGCAUAGGCGAACGGAGAGGGUGAUCGGCCACACUGGGACCGAGAAACGGCCCAAAACCCUAAGGGAGGGAGGAGGAGGGAAGCUUCGGCAAUGGACGAAAGGCUGACCGAGGAAAGGCGCGGGAGUGAAGAAGGUUUUCGGAUUCUAAAACUCUGUUGUUAGAGAAGCGGUAUCUAACCAGAAAGCCACGGCUAACUACGUGCCAGCAGCCGCGGUAAUUC
This 403-nucleotide ribosomal RNA is filed under the name uncultured bacterium. Its description in RNAcentral is "partial 16S ribosomal RNA". It matches the Rfam family "Bacterial small subunit ribosomal RNA", at positions 28 to 526 of the family's 1533-position model. The record is from RNAcentral.